AUCGCUUCUCGGCCUUUUGGCUAAGAUCAAGUGUAGUAUCUGUUCUUAUCAGUUUAAACUAACAAACUACAGAGGAGAAGGAAGCCAUUUUUUCUUGUGCUGAAGAUUAUGAAUAGCGGCGUGUUGGCAUGCAUUUUAUAUGUUACCAGUGGUUUAUAUAUAUAACCGCUUUCAGUUAAAGAAGC
Molecule: small nuclear RNA, 185 nt
Organism: Myotis daubentonii (Daubenton's bat)
Lineage: Eukaryota; Metazoa; Chordata; Mammalia; Chiroptera; Vespertilionidae
Product: U2 spliceosomal RNA
Exons: 1
Source: RefSeq, a predicted model, not a curated record